CAGGUAAAGACCAACCUCUCUGGAAUCCCAUGAGGUAUGCAUCUCUGGGCUGGCACUGGACCAUUAAUAAUUACUUACCGAGAAAGGCCUUCUAAGCCCUAAUGAGUCCAUCCAAUGAGAAGAUGAUUUCAGGAUGUAGUUCUUUAAUUGCCCAACGUCAAGCAAGACAAAACUUAAAAAUGUACGGGAUUAGAUUUCAGGAAGAAAAGCAAACAAGGAAAAGUACUUCUGAAGUUCCCCAGCACAUCAGUUGCCUCAACAUAGUAAAUCCAGGCAAAGAAAUGCCAAGACUCCACUAGCUCAGCCCCAACCCUCUGGUAAGGUCAAAAUACUGCAGGAGGGGAAUUAGCCAGUAACUGUUUCCACCAUCAUGCCCUGCUCUCCAUGUACCUGCCCAGUUGUGAGAUCCUUAGCUUGAGUGUUAGGAUGUCAUUUUCUCUACAAGCACUCGGUCAAUUAUAAAGUACUUGGCAUUGUGGGAGAGCAUUUCUUUCUGACCUCUGUCAGCAGAUGCUUGAUCUCUAGAAGCCUGGGGGGAUUGAUUACCUUCUGGUAACCACAGUUGCCAAUCUCACUGAGACAGUUGGGGAGAAGAGAAGGGCAGAGGGGUAGGCAAUCUUAUUGCUCCUGGUGGACAAAUCCAUUGAUGAAUUGCCUCCUGGGGAAGAUGGAAAAAAGAGUGUGCAAUGAUUUGUGUAUU
RNAcentral lists this long non-coding RNA (700 nucleotides) under Felis catus (domestic cat). RNAcentral's name for it is "lncRNA (ENSFCAG00000046147.2)". Lineage: Eukaryota; Metazoa; Chordata; Mammalia; Carnivora; Felidae. The record is from RNAcentral.